This 729-nucleotide ribosomal RNA is filed under the name Triticum aestivum (bread wheat). RNAcentral's name for it is "partial small subunit ribosomal RNA". Lineage: Eukaryota; Viridiplantae; Streptophyta; Magnoliopsida; Poales; Poaceae. The record is from RNAcentral.
AUGCCCUCGGCCGCCUCCUGUAACACCAUCUGCACAAAACUCCGAUUCCCCUCUCCGCCGGCAAUCGCGUCGCGCUCGACGGGUGCUCACUCACGGCCGCCUUCUGUCUGUGCUUCUCUUCUCAGGACGACGGUCUUGCGGCACAUGGCGCCGGAGCUGAGCCUGGGCAUGAGGAGCGACGGCUACGUGCGUGCCCGCGACCUGCUCGGCCUCAGCCUGCAGACCUUCGCCAAGGCUCCCCUCAAGUCCCACUCGGUGGAUGAAAUCAGGGAGGCGGUCAGGCGAGACAACAAGCAGAGGUUCAGUCUGUUGGAGGAGGAUGGCGAGCUGCUGAUUCGGGCUAACCAGGGGCACACUGUGACAACUGUUGCAUCAGAGAGCUUGCUGAAACCAAUUUUAUCAGCCGACGAAGUCUCAGUUUGUGUCCAUGGGACCUACAGGAAGAAUCUUGAUUCAAUAUUGCAACAUGGACUAAAACGUAUGGAAAGGCUACAUGUACAUUUCUCAAGCGGGUUGCCAUCAGACGAAGGAGUCAUAAGCGGUAUGCGGCGUAGCGCAAACAUAUUGAUACACCUGGAUGUCCACAAGGCGCUGCAAGAUGGGAUGAAGCUAUACAUCUCCGACAACAAGGUGAUACUGACAGAGGGUUUCGAUGGCGUCGUCCCCGUCAAGUACUUGGAGAAGAUGGAGUCGUGGCCAGGACGCCCUCCGAUACCUUUCCAAAGAUAA